RNAcentral lists this ribosomal RNA (394 nucleotides) under uncultured bacterium. RNAcentral's name for it is "partial 16S ribosomal RNA". It matches the Rfam family "Bacterial small subunit ribosomal RNA", at positions 523 to 918 of the family's 1533-position model. The record is from RNAcentral.
AUACGUAGGUGACCAGCGUUAUCCGGAUUUACUGGGCGUAAAGGGCGUGUAGGCGGUCUUGCAAGUCAGAAGUGAAAUUCCUGAGCUCAACUCGGGCGCUGCUUCUGAAACUGCAGGACUUGAGUGCUGGAGGGGAUAGCGGAAUUCCUAGUGGAGCGGUAAAAUGCGCAGAUAUUAGGAAUAACACCGGUGGCGAAGGCGGCUAUCUGGACAGUAACUGACGCUGAGGCGCGAAAGCGUGGGGAGCAAACAGGAUUAGAUACCCUGGUAGUCCACGCCGUAAACGAUGAGCACUAGGUGUCGGGGAGACAAUCCUCGGUGCCGCAGUUAACGCAUUAAGUGCUCCGCCUGGGGAGUACGUUCGCAAGAAUAAAACUCAAAUGAAUUGGCGGGG